This 701-nucleotide ribosomal RNA is filed under the name Pleurotus floridanus. Its description in RNAcentral is "eukaryotic LSU rRNA". The stretch from base 286 to 439 matches the Rfam family "5.8S ribosomal RNA". Lineage: Eukaryota; Fungi; Basidiomycota; Agaricomycetes; Agaricales; Pleurotaceae. The record is from RNAcentral.
GGAAGUAAAAGUCGUAACAAGGUUUCCGUAGGUGAACCUGCGGAAGGAUCAUUAAUGAAUUCACUAUGGAGUUGUUGCUGGCCUCUAGGGGCAUGUGCACGCUUCACUAGUCUUUCAACCACCUGUGAACUUUUGAUAGAUCUGUGAAGUCGUCUCUCAAGUCGUCAGACUUGGUUGCUGGGAUUUAAACGUCUCGGUGUGACUACGCAGUCUAUUUACUUACACACCCCAAAUGUAUGUCUACGAAUGUCAUUUAAUGGGCCUUGUGCCUUUAAACCAUAAUACAACUUUCAACAACGGAUCUCUUGGCUCUCGCAUCGAUGAAGAACGCAGCGAAAUGCGAUAAGUAAUGUGAAUUGCAGAAUUCAGUGAAUCAUCGAAUCUUUGAACGCACCUUGCGCCCCUUGGUAUUCCGAGGGGCAUGCCUGUUUGAGUGUCAUUAAAUUCUCAAACUCACUUUGGUUUCUUUCCAAUUGUGAUGUUUGGAUUGUUGGGGGCUGCUGGCCUUGACAGGUCGGCUCCUCUUAAAUGCAUUAGCAGGACUUCUCAUUGCCUCUGCGCAUGAUGUGAUAAUUAUCACUCAUCAAUAGCACGCAUGAAUAGAGUCCAGCUCUCUAAUCGUCCGCAAGGACAAUUUGACAAUUUGACCUCAAAUCAGGUAGGACUACCCGCUGAACUUAAGCAUAUCAAUAAGCGGAGGA